Molecule: ribosomal RNA, 525 nt
Filed under: uncultured bacterium
Lineage: Bacteria
Description: bacterial SSU rRNA
Rfam family: Bacterial small subunit ribosomal RNA
Source: RNAcentral
ACAUCCAGAGAACUUAGCAGAGAUGCUUUGGUGCCUUCGGGAACUCUGAGACAGGUGCUGCAUGGCUGUCGUCAGCUCGUGUUGUGAAAUGUUGGGUUAAGUCCCGCAACGAGCGCAACCCUUAUCCUUUGUUGCCAGCGAUUCGGUCGGGAACUCAAAGGAGACUGCCGGUGAUAAACCGGAGGAAGGUGGGGAUGACGUCAAGUCAUCAUGGCCCUUACGGCCAGGGCUACACACGUGCUACAAUGGCGCAUACAAAGAGAAGCGACCUCGCGAGAGCAAGCGGACCUCAUAAAGUGCGUCGUAGUCCGGAUUGGAGUCUGCAACUCGACUCCAUGAAGUCGGAAUCGCUAGUAAUCGUAGAUCAGAAUGCUACGGUGAAUACGUUCCCGGGCCUUGUACACACCGCCCGUCACACCAUGGGAGUGGGUUGCAAAAGAAGUAGGUAGCUUAACCUUCGGGAGGGCGCUUACCACUUUGUGAUUCAUGACUGGGGUGAAGUCGUAACAAGGUAGGCGUACGUGU